GAUGAUCAAUGUUGGAACGAUCCCGCGAUGCUUCUCUCUCAUUCUCCCGUCCCCCGCAGAAGCAGUAACACUACCUCCAGAUGGCUCCUCGUCUAGCAUCUCGUUUCCAGACCACGUGUACUCCUAUAGGUUUGGUGUUUUCUUUGGACAUGCAUCUGUAUAUGGUGCUAUGGGCCAUCUUGUGUGGCAUCCCAGAAGACUAGAACAUGAUUGGUAAGAAGAUGCUGCAAUAUGUAUGGUUCUAAAGGCUGAGCUUGAUGGGCUGCAUUAAGACCACAUUCAGGGUCUUGAUGUCACUUCAAGAAAAUAGUGAGAGGAAGUUUUUGGCAAGGUACAGGUGUGUGCACAGUGAAGAGUGGUUGCUUCCCAAGUUUUUAAUCUGACCUAGGCUUUGGUCAUACCAGUAAUCUUGACGAGUUGCACAAUGAGAUCCAGAAUGAAUUUUUGAGAUGUCCAUGAUGGGAUUACCGACAGUGGUUGAAGAAAUCAAAAUAUGCAAGGAGUAAUCAAGCAGUUUUGUCAGCAUUGCAGAGUCGAGCAGAUAUAAGCCGGUGUCUACAAGAAUUGAAUAUCAACUAUCGCUGCGUGUAGGUCAUCAGACUGGAUAAAACUUUGUGCAGAGGUUGCAUUUUCAAGAGGCUCAAGUCCUACCUCAUUAUCUAGUGAAGAGGGCAUCUAGUAGUAUCAGAGUGGAUCUUGGUCUGUUCUCCCAGGUGAUAGUGGGAGACACGACACCCAGCCAAGGCAGGGUAGGGGAAUGGGAGACAUAUCUAGUCAACGAUUUUUCUUGACCCAUCUUCAAACUCUGGCCCCACAAAAAUUUUGCCCAGUCUCCAAGAUGGCCGGCAGGUUUUCAAAAUGGCUUCCGUUAGAAAUCUAAAUACUAUUGGUAUUUAUUUGAUCAAUCUCCUUCAAAUUCCCGUGGCUCCAAUUUUGUUGAAAUACUGAAGGAGCAAAUUGGUACUCAUUCUAUAAUAAGGUAAAAGGUUAGGUAAUACAUGGAUUUAGGGUAAUUUCAGCUUGGUCAUUUUUUAUAUUCAUUUUGAAGGUGAAAGGAAAAUAUGUAACACCUCGUAAUAAACCUUAGAAGAUUUAA
Molecule: long non-coding RNA, 1096 nt
Organism: Macrobrachium nipponense
Lineage: Eukaryota; Metazoa; Arthropoda; Malacostraca; Decapoda; Palaemonidae
Exons: 10
Source: RefSeq, a predicted model, not a curated record